Long non-coding RNA from Myotis daubentonii (Daubenton's bat), 501 nucleotides. RefSeq lists it as uncharacterized. NCBI's taxonomy places the organism in Eukaryota, Metazoa, Chordata, Mammalia, Chiroptera, Vespertilionidae. The record is from RefSeq and is a predicted model, not a curated record.
AUCUCCUCUGACCUCCUCUGGAGCUGUACUUAGAGUCUGCCUUCGAACAGCUUUUCUGCCCCUCUUCAUGUAACAAACAUCCAUGUUCAGCUUCUGUGGCAUUUUCUAGUAGUUUGAUAGCUAAAUAUGAUGGUGGGUGUGGGGAGAAGAAAUAGAGUAAAAAUCCUUCCCAUGUUAUUCUUCUUUCCGAAUUUAGCCCAAUGAGCCAAGCACAGCAUGGGUGCUACUGGUGGGUCUUUGCAAAAAGCAGAGGCCAUGGAGCUGAUUCACCUGCAUCCAGCGGAGAACCCAGAGGCUGGCCUGGAAGGUUCUGAGUGAAGGUUCGGCGGUACAAGCCAGCUGGAAUGGUGAGGACCAGAGCAACCCUGCAAACCAACUGUUAAUGGCAGAGCUGCUGCCAGCCUGGGUCUCCGAUGACUGACUGGAGCAGAGCUGCCCACCCAGCUGGAAUGCUUGUCUUGGACUAUUACCUGGGAGACAAAUAAACUCAUUGUUCUUCAA